RNAcentral lists this ribosomal RNA (254 nucleotides) under uncultured bacterium. RNAcentral's name for it is "partial 16S ribosomal RNA". It matches the Rfam family "Bacterial small subunit ribosomal RNA", at positions 524 to 776 of the family's 1533-position model. The record is from RNAcentral.
UACGUAGGGUGCGAGCGUUGUCCGGAAUUACUGGGCGUAAAGAGCUCGUAGGUGGUUUGUCGCGUUGUCCGUGAAAACUUGGGGCUUAACCCUGAGCUUGCGGUCGAUACGGGCAUGACUGGAGUUCGGCAGGGGAGACUGGAAUUCCUGGUGUAGCGGUGAAAUGCGCAGAUAUCAGGAGGAACACCGGUGGCGAAGGCGGGUCUCUGGGCCGAUACUGACGCUGAGGAGCGAAAGCGUGGGGAGCGAACAGG